CUGUGUGGAUGCUAGUUCCGUGGUGGAAUUUUUGGUUACCCACCAACCUCCCGGGAGGGUAGGUUACGGGUAGGUACAAUCAGAUAAGAACGACGUGAACCUGGUGAGGUGGAAACGGACAGAGCUGGCGUAUCUAGCCUGCAUUCAGCCUCUGGGCAUCUGACCUUGGGACGACGCCUCCAGAUUGGAGUGUUGUUUUGUCCGUCGGGUGCUGCGUGGUGCAUUUGCAGGUGGAGUGCGCCGAGGCGUUCGGUGCAGCGCUGUGAGCCUGAUUUUGAGGCUAGAUGUAAAUCUAGUACCCGAAACGGGCGAACAUUGUUUGCAUUGUGCGUUCGGGUGUUGGUAUUCGGGCACUUGUGGUGCCCAAUUGGCGAUGGGUGGCAGCCGCAUGCGACAUGUGCCCGGAGUUAGUUCGGUCCUGCUUGUGCUCACAACGCCAAUCCUCGGUGUAAAAGCCGGUCAUCUGUCCGACCCGUCUUGAAACACGGACCAAGGAGUUUAGCGUGUGCGCGAGUCAUUGGGCGUUGAAAACCCAAAGGCGCAAUGAAAGUGAAUGACUCCCUCGUGGAGCUGAUGUGCGACCCUGCGUAUUGCGGUGCGUGGGGGCAGCAUAGUCCCGUCUUGACCGCUUGCGGUGGGGCGGAGAAAGAGCGUACGCGCUGAGACCCGAAAGAUGGUGAACUAUUCCUGAGCAGGACGAAGCCAGAGGAAACUCUGGUGGAAGUCCGAAGCGAUUCUGACGUGCAAAUCGAUCGUCUGACUUGGGUAUAGCAUCUUACGUCUUUAAUCUCUUACUGGGUCCUUCCUAACCAAAGGUAAUUUGUUAUGGGA
This 831-nucleotide ribosomal RNA is filed under the name Radopholus similis. RNAcentral describes it as "partial 28S ribosomal RNA". It matches the Rfam family "Eukaryotic large subunit ribosomal RNA", at positions 1 to 938 of the family's 3401-position model. Lineage: Eukaryota; Metazoa; Nematoda; Chromadorea; Rhabditida; Pratylenchidae. The record is from RNAcentral.